This 247-nucleotide ribosomal RNA is filed under the name uncultured bacterium. RNAcentral describes it as "partial 16S ribosomal RNA". It matches the Rfam family "Bacterial small subunit ribosomal RNA", at positions 523 to 762 of the family's 1533-position model. The record is from RNAcentral.
GUACGAAGGUGCAAGCGUUAAUCGGAAGUUACUAGGGCGUAAAGCGCGCGUAGGUGGUUCAGCAAGUUGGAUAGUCGGAAAGCCCUGGGCGUCAACCUGGGAACUGCAUCCAAAACGUACUGAGCUAGAGUACGGUAGAGGGGUAGUGGAAUUUCCUGUGUAGCGGUGAAAUGCGUAGAUAUAGGAAGGAACACCAGUGGCGAAGGCGACCACCUGGACUGAUACUGACACUGAGGUGCGAAAGCGU